UGAACGCUGGCGGCGUGCCUAAUACAUGCAAGUCGAGCGAACAGACGAGGAGCUUGCUCCUCUGACGUUAGCGGCGGACGGGUGAGUAACACGUGGAUAACCUACCUAUAAGACUGGGAUAACUUCGGGAAACCGGGGCUAAUACCGGAUAAUAUAUUGAACCGCAUGGUUCAAUAGUGAAAGACGGUUUUGCUGUCACUUAUAGAUGGAUCCGCGCCGCAUUAGCUAGUUGGUAAGGUAACGGCUUACCAAGGCAACGAUGCGUAGCCGACCUGAGAGGGUGAUCGGCCACACUGGAACUGAGACACGGUCCAGACUCCUACGGGAGGCAGCAGUAGGGAAUCUUCCGCAAUGGGCGAAAGCCUGACGGAGCAACGCCGCGUGAGUGAUGAAGGUCUUCGGAUCGUAAAACUCUGUUAUUAGGGAAGAACAAAUGUGUAAGUAACUAUGCACGUCUUGACGGUACCUAAUCAGAAAGCCACGGCUAACUACGUG
This 495-nucleotide ribosomal RNA is filed under the name uncultured bacterium. RNAcentral's name for it is "partial 16S ribosomal RNA". It matches the Rfam family "Bacterial small subunit ribosomal RNA", at positions 30 to 507 of the family's 1533-position model. The record is from RNAcentral.